Non-coding RNA from Arvicanthis niloticus (Nile rat), 624 nucleotides. The record is from RefSeq and is a predicted model, not a curated record. NCBI's taxonomy places the organism in Eukaryota, Metazoa, Chordata, Mammalia, Rodentia, Muridae.
GCCGCGGGGCACCGACUCCUCACCGUGGGGAGCGUGACACUGCGUGGCGCUCCUCCUCGCCCCCCCGGGACCGUGGAAGGCGUGGGCCGAAGUGCUUCUCCUCCCGCGAGGUCCCCCAAGCUCCGCAGCUGACAGCCCUUGCCAGGAGCUGCCAAGAUCCACCUGGCUCCUCCUCUUCGAGCCCAAUUCCAGGGCACUCAGUGUCUACCAAGAACUUCAGCACCUAAAAUGGUCACUCAGUCCUCUCCACCCAGAACUCUCAUCAUCCUCAUUCUUUAGGAACUUAUGAUUCAGUGUUGCUGCUUAGGGAGCUUGGUCACCUCCACCCUGCACUGUGGAUGUCUGAGACAAACAAGUGGACAGACCAGACGACUAGAGACUUGGAACACAUAUCCAUAGGCUUCCCUGGUCAGUCUUACAGAACCUCACCUGGCCAUGCUCACCGGAUUGAAGCCAACCAGGACCGGCAAGAAGACAUCUGUGUUAUCCAUGCAGUAGUCCAUCUGGCCUGCCACAAAGGGUGCCUGAGAGUAGCAAGAAAGGAAGGGAUCCUUUGGCCCCAGAUACAUGUGUAGCAGAGGAUGGCCUUGCCCGACAGCAACGAGAGGGAAGGCCCUUGGUCCC